This 113-nucleotide small RNA is filed under the name Erwinia sp. JUb26. RNAcentral's name for it is "tp2". It matches the Rfam family "tp2". Lineage: Bacteria; Pseudomonadati; Pseudomonadota; Gammaproteobacteria; Enterobacterales; Erwiniaceae. The record is from RNAcentral.
GGUAUUCCUUAUCUGUGUCUAAUACGUUGAAUUGUCUGGAGCCUGUCUCUUUGCAUUCUGUCGUUCAGAACACACAGAGACAGGCUCGUCGUUUAUACCCUUUAGCCCUGGUG